AAGCAUCUGCUGAUAGGCCAGGAACAGCUGCUCUUGCUCACUGGCUUGCAUUAAGAUGCAACAGCAAUAUCCUUGCGCUUUCUGUCUGCCUGGUAGUGUGGCAGCGCAGAUUGAAAAGGGGAGGACAGUU
Varanus komodoensis (Komodo dragon) is the source of this 130-nucleotide small nucleolar RNA. NCBI's taxonomy places the organism in Eukaryota, Metazoa, Chordata, Lepidosauria, Squamata, Varanidae. The record is from Ensembl.